GGGUUGUGAGGUUAAGCGACUAAGCGUACACGGUGGAUGCCCGGCAGUCAGAGGCGAUGAAGGACGUGCUAAUCUGCGAUAAGCGUCGGUAAGGUGAUAUGAACCGUUAUAACCGGCGAUUUCCGAAUGGGGAAACCCAGUGUGUUUCGACACACUAUCAUUAACUGAAUCCAUAGGUUAAUGAGGCGAACCGGGGGAACUGAAACAUCUAAGUACCCCGAGGAAAAGAAAUCAACCGAGAUUCCCCCAGUAGCGGCGAGCGAACGGGGAGCAGCCCAGAGCCUGAAUCAGUGUGUGUGUUAGUGGAAGCGUCUGGAAAGGCGCGCGAUACAGGGUGACAGCCCCGUACACAAAAAUGCACAUGCUGUGAGCUCGAUGAGUAGGGCGGGACACGUGGUAUCCUGUCUGAAUAUGGGGGACCAUCCUCCAAGGCUAAAUACUCCUGACUGACCGAUAGUGAACCAGUACCGUGAGGGAAAGGCGAAAAGAACCCCGGCGAGGGGAGUGAAAAAGAACCUGAAACCGUGUACGUACAAGCAGUGGGAGCACGCUUAGGCGUGUGACUGCGUACCUUUUGUAUAAUGGGUCAGCGACUUAUAUUCUGUAGCAAGGUUAACCGAAUAGGGGAGCCGAAGGGAAACCGAGUCUUAACUGGGCGUUAAGUUGCAGGGUAUAGACCCGAAACCCGGUGAUCUAGCCAUGGGCAGGUUGAAGGUUGGGUAACACUAACUGGAGGACCGAACCGACUAAUGUUGAAAAAUUAGCGGAUGACUUGUGGCUGGGGGUGAAAGGCCAAUCAAACCGGGAGAUAGCUGGUUCUCCCCGAAAGCUAUUUAGGUAGCGCCUCGUGAAUUCAUCUCCGGGGGUAGAGCACUGUUUCGGCAAGGGGGUCAUCCCGACUUACCAACCCGAUGCAAACUGCGAAUACCGGAGAAUGUUAUCACGGGAGACACACGGCGGGUGCUAACGUCCGUCGUGAAGAGGGAAACAACCCAGACCGCCAGCUAAGGUCCCAAAGUCAUGGUUAAGUGGGAAACGAUGUGGGAAGGCCCAGACAGCCAGGAUGUUGGCUUAGAAGCAGCCAUCAUUUAAAGAAAGCGUAAUAGCUCACUGGUCGAGUCGGCCUGCGCGGAAGAUGUAACGGGGCUAAACCAUGCACCGAAGCUGCGGCAGCGACGCUGAUGCGUUGUUGGGUAGGGGAGCGUUCUGUAAGCCUGCGAAGGUGUGCUGUGAGGCAUGCUGGAGGUAUCAGAAGUGCGAAUGCUGACAUAAGUAACGAUAAAGCGGGUGAAAAGCCCGCUCGCCGGAAGACCAAGGGUUCCUGUCCAACGUUAAUCGGGGCAGGGUGAGUCGACCCCUAAGGCGAGGCCGAAAGGCGUAGUCGAUGGGAAACAGGUUAAUAUUCCUGUACUUGGUGUUACUGCGAAGGGGGGACGGAGAAGGCUAUGUUGGCCGGGCGACGGUUGUCCCGGUUUAAGCGUGUAGGCUGGUUUUCCAGGCAAAUCCGGAAAAUCAAGGCUGAGGCGUGAUGACGAGGCACUACGGUGCUGAAGCAACAAAUGCCCUGCUUCCGAGGAAAAGCCUCUAAGCAUCAGGUAACAUCAAAUCGUACCCCAAACCGACACAGGUGGUCAGGUAGAGAAUACCAAGGCGCUUGAGAGAACUCGGGUGAAGGAACUAGGCAAAAUGGUGCCGUAACUUCGGGAGAAGGCACGCUGAUAUGUAGGUGAAGUCCCUCGCGGAUGGAGCUGAAAUCAGUCGAAGAUACCAGCUGGCUGCAACUGUUUAUUAAAAACACAGCACUGUGCAAACACGAAAGUGGACGUAUACGGUGUGACGCCUGCCCGGUGCCGGAAGGUUAAUUGAUGGGGUUAGCCGCAAGGCGAAGCUCUUGAUCGAAGCCCCGGUAAACGGCGGCCGUAACUAUAACGGUCCUAAGGUAGCGAAAUUCCUUGUCGGGUAAGUUCCGACCUGCACGAAUGGCGUAAUGAUGGCCAGGCUGUCUCCACCCGAGACUCAGUGAAAUUGAACUCGCUGUGAAGAUGCAGUGUACCCGCGGCAAGACGGAAAGACCCCGUGAACCUUUACUAUAGCUUGACACUGAACAUUGAGCCUUGAUGUGUAGGAUAGGUGGGAGGCUUGGAAGUGUGGACGCCAGUCUGCAUGGAGCCGACCUUGAAAUACCACCCUUUAAUGUUUGAUGUUCUAACGUUGACCCGUAAUCCGGGUUGCGGACAGUGUCUGGUGGGUAGUUUGACUGGGGCGGUCUCCUCCUAAAGAGUAACGGAGGAGCACGAAGGUUGGCUAAUCCUGGUCGGACAUCAGGAGGUUAGUGCAAUGGCAUAAGCCAGCUUGACUGCGAGCGUGACGGCGCGAGCAGGUGCGAAAGCAGGUCAUAGUGAUCCGGUGGUUCUGAAUGGAAGGGCCAUCGCUCAACGGAUAAAAGGUACUCCGGGGAUAACAGGCUGAUACCGCCCAAGAGUUCAUAUCGACGGCGGUGUUUGGCACCUCGAUGUCGGCUCAUCACAUCCUGGGGCUGAAGUAGGUCCCAAGGGUAUGGCUGUUCGCCAUUUAAAGUGGUACGCGAGCUGGGUUUAGAACGUCGUGAGACAGUUCGGUCCCUAUCUGCCGUGGGCGCUGGAGAACUGAGGGGGGCUGCUCCUAGUACGAGAGGACCGGAGUGGACGCAUCACUGGUGUUCGGGUUGUCAUGCCAAUGGCACUGCCCGGUAGCUAAAUGCGGAAGAGAUAAGUGCUGAAAGCAUCUAAGCACGAAACUUGCCCCGAGAUGAGUUCUCCCUGACUCCUUGAGAGUCCUGAAGGAACGUUGAAGACGACGACGUUGAUAGGCCGGGUGUGUAAGCGCAGCGAUGCGUUGAGCUAACCGGUACUAAUGAACCGUGAGGCUUAACCUUACAACGCCGAAGGUGUUU
Molecule: ribosomal RNA, 2932 nt
Filed under: Escherichia coli
Lineage: Bacteria; Pseudomonadati; Pseudomonadota; Gammaproteobacteria; Enterobacterales; Enterobacteriaceae
Description: 23S ribosomal RNA
Rfam family: Bacterial large subunit ribosomal RNA
Source: RNAcentral